Molecule: ribosomal RNA, 567 nt
Filed under: uncultured Bacilli bacterium
Lineage: Bacteria; Bacillati; Bacillota; Bacilli
Description: bacterial SSU rRNA
Rfam family: Bacterial small subunit ribosomal RNA
Source: RNAcentral
GGGAUAACUAUUGGAAACGAUAGCUAAUACCGCAUAACAAUGGAUGACCCAUGUCAUUUAUUUGAAAGGGGCAAAUGCUCCACUACAAGAUGGACCUGCGUUGUAUUAGCUAGUAGGUGAGGUAACGGCUCACCUAGGCGACGAUACAUAGCCGACCUGAGAGGGUGAUCGGCCACACUGGGACUGAGACACGGCCCAGACUCCUACGGGAGGCAGCAGUAGGGAAUCUUCGGCAAUGGGGGCAACCCUGACCGAGCAACGCCGCGUGAGUGAAGAAGGUUUUCGGAUCGUAAAGCUCUGUUGUAAGUCAAGAACGAGUGUGAGAGUGGAAAGUUCACACUGUGACGGUAGCUUACCAGAAAGGGACGGCUAACUACGUGCCAGCAGCCGCGGUAAUACGUAGGUCCCGAGCGUUGUCCGGAUUUAUUGGGCGUAAAGCGAGCGCAGGCGGUUUGAUAAGUCUGAAGUUAAAGGCUGUGGCUCAACCAUAGUUCGCUUUGGAAACUGUCAAACUUGAGUGCAGAAGGGGAGAGUGGAAUUCCAUGUGUAGCGGUGAAAUGCGUAGAU